Molecule: ribosomal RNA, 584 nt
Filed under: uncultured bacterium
Lineage: Bacteria
Description: partial 16S ribosomal RNA
Rfam family: Bacterial small subunit ribosomal RNA
Source: RNAcentral
UGGGGAAUUUUGGACAAUGGGCGAAAGCCUGAUCCAGCAAUGCCGCGUGUGUGAAGAAGGCCUUCGGGUUGUAAAGCACUUUUGUCCGGGAAAAGAAAUCCUUGGCUCUAAUACAGUCGGGGGAUGACGGUACCGGAAGAAUAAGCACCGGCUAACUACGUGCCAGCAGCCGCGGUAAUACGUAGGGUGCAAGCGUUAAUCGGAAUUACUGGGCGUAAAGCGUGCGCAGGCGGUUUGCUAAGACCGAUGUGAAAUCCCCGGGCUCAACCUGGGAACUGCAUUGGUGACUGGCAGGCUAGAGUAUGGCAGAGGGGGGUUAGAAUUCCACGUGUAGCAGUGAAAUGCGUAGAGAUGUGGAGGAAUACCGAUGGCGAAGGCAGCCCCCUGGGCCAAUACUGACGCUCAUGCACGAAAGCGUGGGGAGCAAACAGGAUUAGAUACCCUGGUAGUCCACGCCCUAAACGAUGUCAACUGUUGUGGGGAUUCAUUCCUUAGUAACGUAGCUAACGCGUGAAGUUGACCGCCUGGGGAGUACGGUCGCAAGAUUAAAACUCAAAUGAAUUGACGGGGUCAUAGCUGUUUCC